Molecule: long non-coding RNA, 388 nt
Filed under: Homo sapiens (human)
Lineage: Eukaryota; Metazoa; Chordata; Mammalia; Primates; Hominidae
Description: HSALNT0280832
Source: RNAcentral
UUUUGGAAUACCGUGUCAACACUGAGAAGGAUGAACUGAUAUCAAAUAUCUUGCGUAUGUUUCCGAGGGUGGUUUACCGGAUGGUGGUCUGCUACAACUCAGCCAUUUAUUGUGGUCUGUUUUUUCAGUGAGUCAAGGUCUCUUAAGUCUCCAAGCUAAACAGGAGUACUGCCUGAAGCCAGAAUGCAUCGAAGCGGCUGCUGCCAUCUUAAGUAAAGUAAAUCUGUCUGUGGAUCCUUGUGAUAAUUUCUUCCGGUUCGCUUGUGAUGGCUGGAUAAGCAAUAAUCCAAUUCCCGAAGAUAUGCCAAGCUAUGGGGUUUAUCCUUGGCUGAGACAUAAUGUUGACCUCAAGUUGAAGGGUAAUACAGGCUCAUCGUAGACCAACCAC